UACGUAGGGUGCGAGCGUUAAUCGGAAUUCCUGGGCGUAAAGUGUGCGCAGGCGGCCGCGCAAGUCGAGUGUGAAAUCCCCGAGCUUAACUUGGGAAUUGCGCUCGAAACUACGUGGCUGGAGUGUGGCAGAGGAAGGUGGAAUUCCACGUGUAGCGGUGAAAUGCGUAGAGAUGUGGAGGAACACCGAUGGCGAAGGCAGCCUUCUGGGCCAACACUGACGCUCAUGCACGAAAGCGUGGGGAGCAAACAGG
Molecule: ribosomal RNA, 253 nt
Filed under: uncultured bacterium
Lineage: Bacteria
Description: partial 16S ribosomal RNA
Rfam family: Bacterial small subunit ribosomal RNA
Source: RNAcentral